This 1421-nucleotide long non-coding RNA is filed under the name Phasianus colchicus (ring-necked pheasant). RNAcentral's name for it is "lncRNA (ENSPCLG00000011596.1)". The record is from RNAcentral. Lineage: Eukaryota; Metazoa; Chordata; Aves; Galliformes; Phasianidae.
CUCUGCAGGUAGAGGAGAAUCUUUAACAAGAUUGGGUAGAAAAGAGGAGGCAAGUUCUUUUUACUAUUCCAUGGGAAAAUAAGCUGUUGGAUUAUUGUCUGGAAACUGUGUGAAGUGCCAAGAUGAGCAGUGAGAGGCCGGAGAACCCUGGUCCCUCCUCACUGACUGAAGGCCUGAAGAGAAAGAGGGGAAGACCAAAGAAACAGCCACAGGAGGAGGCUGUGGGCCCACUGCCGGAGAAAAAGCCACGAGGAAGGCCGAAAGGAAGCAAGAAAGUGAUCAGUGUAACUGGACAAAUGGUAGAACCUCCUGCUGGGAAGAGGCCACGAGGAAGGCCCCGCAAGUGGCCUCAGCUGGUGACACAAGGAGCAUCUCAGGAAGGUGGCCCUCAGGGAAGCGGUGACAUGGAUGUGAACCCAGUGCCUGCCAAGCAAGGCAUCACUGGAAAAGACAGUUUCAAGCCCAGCAAAGCCUCUGCUGUUCGGAGGUCUCUGAGCAGCAUCGCCGCCGCAGCUCAGUAGUGUGCUGCCUCUCGUGUCCUGCUGGAGCCAGAGGACAGGAAAGCAAGCAGCACUCCUACUGUCCUAUUUCAAAUUGUUCUUUGUGGUGAUUUUGGCUGUGCUUUCCCCUCUGUUGUCUGCUGGCUUACCCCAAACAUCCACGCAGACUUAAGGGACAAAACAACAGAUACCUUCUCAGGGAGAUGCCUUUCUCAGUUUGUAGUAGAUUUUUUGAGGAUAUUAAUCCUUUUUAACAGUGCUAUGGUGACACAGUGCCUUGUGCUGCCACAGGUAGUGAUAGUUCCAUAGGGUGAUAGUGUUGUCUCAGUUAUAUACAGAUACAACCAAUCUGCAUAGCUAACCACUGGUCUUGCAUCAUACCACCUCUGGUACAUGACGGUGUAGUCCAGGAAUUAAAUUUUGUUGAUUUGCUCAUAGGGACUGCAUCUGAAAGACAGAGUUCUUCCCUCACCAUACCACAAAGGAGGAAAAAAAAAAAAAAAAAAAAAACCCAAAAACCAACUUGAUGGCAUUUCCAGCUUACCUACAGUUGUCGCUCCAGUGGUCAGCGACUUGGAUGCUUCAGAGGAAAGCUCACACCCCAGACCUCAGGGGUUGACUCUGAAAUGUUUCUCCUGGUGUUAGCAGCUCAGGGCCAUCUUCCAUACCUCGCUGUUGCCUCGUGGCACAGCCCUGAAUUUAUUAGCAAUUUUCAUGAACAUGUUUACAAAGCUUAGUUAUAGCCACUGGAUUUCAUCACUUCCAAGGAGUGCCUGUAAAGAACCAAAGUGAUUCAACGGCUGCUGCUUUGCAGAGCUUCGGGAUACAACUGAAAUUACUGUUGCACCUGCAUGCAUAAUGUGCUCUGUGGGGUCCUCUAGUGUUGCAGCUGUGCAAAUAAAAGCUGGCUGCUACCUAGCA